AGAGUUUGAUCCUGGCUCAGAACGAACGCUGGCGGCGUGCCUAACACAUGCAAGUCGAACGGAAGUGAGAAGCUUGCUUUUUACUUUAGUGGCGCACGGGUGAGUAACGCGUAGAUAAUCUGCCUGAUGGUUUGGGAUAACGCUUCGAAAGGGGUGCUAAUACCGGAUAAGCCCACGGAGUCCUUGGAUUCUGCGGGAAAAGGAGGGGACCUUCGGGCCUUCCGCCAACAGAUGAGUCUGCGUACCAUUAGCUAGUUGGUAGGGUAAAGGCCUACCAAGGCGACGAUGGUUAGCUGGUCUGAGAGGAUGAUCAGCCACACUGGAACUGAGACACGGUCCAGACUCCUACGGGAGGCAGCAGUGGGGAAUUUUGCGCAAUGGGGGGAACCCUGACGCAGCAACGCCGCGUGAGUGAUGAAGGCCCUUGGGUCGUAAAGCUCUGACAGAGGGAAAGAAAUGUGGGUGGCUAAUAUCCAUUCCACUUGACGGUACCCUCAAAGGAAGCACCGGCUAACUCCGUGCCAGCAGCCGCGGUAAUACGGAGGGUGCGAGCGUUGUUCGGAUUUAUUGGGCGUAAAGCGCGUGUAGGCGGUUUUAUAAGUCUGAUGUGAAAGCCCCGGGCUCAACCUGGGAAGUGCAUUGGAUACUGUAAGACUUGAAUACGGGAGAGGGCAGUGGAAUUCCUAGUGUAGGAGUGAAAUCCGUAGAUAUUAGGAGGAACACCGGUGGCGAAAGCGGCUGCCUGGACCGAUAUUGACGCUGAGACGCGAAAGCGUGGGUAGCAAACAGGAUUAGAUACCCUGGUAGUCCACGCCGUAAACGAUGAGUACUAGGUGUUGCGGGUAUUGACCCCUGCAGUGCCGCAGCUAACGCAUUAAGUACUCCGCCUGGGAAGUACGGCCGCAAGGUUAAAACUUAAAUGAAUUGACGG
Molecule: ribosomal RNA, 931 nt
Filed under: uncultured bacterium
Lineage: Bacteria
Description: bacterial SSU rRNA
Rfam family: Bacterial small subunit ribosomal RNA
Source: RNAcentral